RNAcentral lists this ribosomal RNA (376 nucleotides) under uncultured bacterium. RNAcentral describes it as "bacterial SSU rRNA". It matches the Rfam family "Bacterial small subunit ribosomal RNA", at positions 524 to 898 of the family's 1533-position model. The record is from RNAcentral.
GACGAACCGUACGAACGUUAUUCGGAAUCACUGGGCUUAAAGGGUGCGUAGGCGGCCCGGAAAGUUGGGUGUGAAAGCCCUCGGCUCAACCGAGGAAUUGCGCCCAAAACUACCGGGCUCGAGGGAGACAGAGGUAAGCGGAACUUAGGGUGGAGCGGUGAAAUGCGUUGAUAUCCUAAGGAACACCAGGAGCGAAAGCGGCUUACUGGGUCUCAUCUGACGCUGAGGCACGAAAGCUAGGGGAGCGAACGGGAUUAGAUACCCCGGUAGUCCUAGCCGUAAACGAUGAGCACUGGUUUGGAGGGCCCCCCAUAGCCUUCUAGACGUAGCGAAAGUGUUAAGUGCUCCGCCUGGGGAGUAUGGUCGCAAGGCUGAA